GUAACAACGAACUGUGAGAAGUCAGCAGAGGUCAUAGUACCGAAAAAAAUUUUUUCGGGAAGGAC
Molecule: non-coding RNA, 65 nt
Filed under: uncultured Ruminococcus sp.
Lineage: Bacteria; Bacillati; Bacillota; Clostridia; Eubacteriales; Oscillospiraceae
Source: RNAcentral